GGGCGGUGAUGAAUAAUUAGAGAAAGUCAUGCACCACGCUGAGUGAUGAAGUGCUGAUAACUCUCUCUCACCCAUUUCAAAUCUGAGCCC
Molecule: small nucleolar RNA, 90 nt
Organism: Mangifera indica (mango)
Lineage: Eukaryota; Viridiplantae; Streptophyta; Magnoliopsida; Sapindales; Anacardiaceae
Product: small nucleolar RNA Z221/R21b
Exons: 1
Source: RefSeq, a predicted model, not a curated record